UACAGAGGGUGCAAGCGUUAAUCGGAAUUACUGGGCGUAAAGCGCACGUAGGUGGUCACUUAAGUCAGGUGUGAAAUCCCCGGGCUCAACCUGGGAAUGGCAUUUGAUACUGGGUGUCUAGAGUAUGUUAGAGGGAAGUGGAAUUUCCGGUGUAGCGGUGAAAAUGCGUAGAUAUCUAGAGGAACACCAGAGGCGAAAGCGAAUCACUGGACAGAACCUGACGCUGAGGCACGAAAGCUAGGGGAGCAAACGGG
This 254-nucleotide ribosomal RNA is filed under the name uncultured bacterium. RNAcentral describes it as "partial 16S ribosomal RNA". It matches the Rfam family "Bacterial small subunit ribosomal RNA", at positions 524 to 776 of the family's 1533-position model. The record is from RNAcentral.